GUUUCUGUAGUUGAAUAACAACGGUGGUUUUUCAAGUCAUUGGUCCUGGUUAGAAUCCGGGUGGAAAUU
This 69-nucleotide transfer RNA is filed under the name Monocentris japonica. RNAcentral's name for it is "tRNA-Glu". It matches the Rfam family "tRNA". Rfam says of the family: Transfer RNA (tRNA) molecules are approximately 80 nucleotides in length. Their secondary structure includes four short double-helical elements and three loops (D, anti-codon, and T loops). Further hydrogen bonds mediate the characteristic L-shaped molecular structure. tRNAs have two regions of fundamental functional importance: the anti-codon, which is responsible for specific mRNA codon recognition, and the 3' end, to which the tRNAs corresponding amino acid is attached (by aminoacyl-tRNA synthetases). tRNAs cope with the degeneracy of the genetic code in two manners: having more than one tRNA (with a specific anti-codon) for a particular amino acid; and 'wobble' base-pairing, i.e. permitting non-standard base-pairing at the 3rd anti-codon position. The record is from RNAcentral. Lineage: Eukaryota; Metazoa; Chordata; Actinopteri; Trachichthyiformes; Monocentridae.